UUUAACGGCCGCGGUAUUCUAACCGUGCAAAGGUAGCGUAAUCACUUGUCUCCUAAAUAGAGACCAGUAUGAAUGGCUAAAUGAGGACAAACCUGUCUCUUACAACCUAUCAGUGAAACUGAUCUUCAAGUCCAAAAGCUAGAAUAUUAACAUAAGACGAGAAGACCCUGUGGAGUUUAAAACACACUACUAAUUAAACUAAACAAAUAGAACAACUAGUACAAGUUUUGAGUUGGGGCGACUUUGGAACAAAACAAAACUUCCAAGCACAGAACCACCACUUCUAACCAAGGCCAACAAGCCAAAGCAAAAACUGACCCAGUAAUACUGAUCAACGAACCAAGUUACCCCAGGGAUAACAGCGCUAUCUUCUUCAAGAGUCCAUAUCGACAAGAAGGUUUACGACCUCGAUGUUGGAU
Molecule: ribosomal RNA, 419 nt
Filed under: Sphenomorphus cf. decipiens 3 CWL-2011
Lineage: Eukaryota; Metazoa; Chordata; Lepidosauria; Squamata; Scincidae
Description: partial 16S ribosomal RNA
Rfam family: Bacterial large subunit ribosomal RNA
Source: RNAcentral